UGGCGAUUUCCGGUUGUAUCGUGUAAUGGAGGAUUUUUCAAGUCUCGGUGUGCGUGUGGGAAAAAAGUAUUAUUUAAGCAUCUGUUUGUCGUUUUAUGCGAUUUUGGACAGAAAAUGAUUAUACUGAAAUGCGUUUGAAAAGAGCAGUCGUGGAGUGGCAUCAGUGGAGAAUUACCAUUUUCAGUGACCAAAUCACACUGGUUUCACGCUGCAUGAAGAACAUCCGUCCUCCCACCACCACACAAUGAGGACAUUGACUUCAGACUAAGGGAAAUACAUGUUGGAAGUUGCGCCCUUUUAGUACACAGCAGCUAUGAGGAGUUCCAGUAAUAAAGUUGUUGCUGUGUGUUGACAGUCUUGGAGAGGCAUGAGGUGCUGUUCUUUGUGAUGAAGGGUGUACUCAGUUUUCUGCUGAAUGAGGAACAUCUCUCGUCUCCCCACCAUACUUCAGCCGUACUGUGUCACAGCUGUGUGGAGGUUACAUAGUAAAGACAUAUGUACAGCUGUGGCAGAACCUGUAAGCAAUGUGUUUCCUAGAAUGAUUUCCAUGGUUACUUCACUGACCUCCAGAGAUACUAUCAGGAGAUUACACAUAAGUGGAAACCACCACUGAUCUGCCAUUAUGGUGCACCCAUUCCUGUGCUUAUCCUGAAAAACAAAUGUUGCAAUUGUUAGUGGGACUCAUCCAUACAAAGAAGCUGUGAGCUCUACAUGACCAACCCCUCUUGUCAGCAUGGAAGGAAGAGUGACGCGAACACCAAGAAGUCAACAAGUGAACAGGUUGGAGAAGCUUACAUGUACCACAUAUUACUAGACACAUGAAUUAAAAAUUAUAGAAACUGAAUUCCUAAAUGUGGAAUGAAGAAGUGUGCUACAAAACUACCGAGUCUACCACACUGCUUAGUAACAUACAGACUGUACUCGAAGCUCUGUAGACUGGUCUCCAAAAUGAAAUUUGCCUUAGGAGCCAGUAAACAGUAUAGUCAAGCCCCGAUUUGAGGUGUUCAGUUUAUAUAAAUUCCACAUGUUCCCCUGUCCACUGCUUCCCAAAGAAACCUGACAUGGGGGUUUCACUGUAUAGCACUGAAUUCAAAGUCAUAUCACCUCAGAUUAAUUUUAAAUCUUAAAAAUAUGGUGGCACUGCAAACUUCUUCAGGAAUAGUAUCUGUCAAGUUAAUGAAAAUAUAAAAGUAAAAAUGGCAAACACAAGCCUGUGUUUCAUUUUUCUGAAUACACAGCUUAAAGCAUUUACUAAGUUGUGUCCCAUCUGGUCUAUAAGUCAUACACUUAAACACCAGAACAGUGGGUGUGAAUUUUCACUUUGAGGGGAGCUAAUGCAAUGGAUGGAAGCAAAGAUGGAAGUAAUUUCUGGAUCCUUUUGAAACAAAUAUUUGGACACUAAGCAGUAACUGAGAUGGAUUGUGUUCUUCAAGCUAACAUCUCUGUGCUUUUUGCAGUUCCUUUAUGAGCUUACUGUACACCAAGCAGAAGUACCUGUUCUUUGCAUAGGAUAUAGUUGCUUGAAUCAGUACAUUUGUAACCAUCAACACAACAUUUAAAGUAGGAGUAAUAACAAAGGUUAUUUACAUUAAUGAACAGUCUCAAAGACUGAAUGCAGAACAUGACAAUACAUCUCAACUUACACCCCAUUAUAAAUAACAUGCAGUGCAAGAGACCUAUAAAAUCACUACCUGGCCUACAACACCAAGGAAGAAUCAAGAUAAAAAUAGCCAGUGUACCAUUAGAAUGAUCAAAUAGAAAUUCAUGACCAAUUCUCACUAUUUAUUCUUAUUUAUAUAACUUGGCAAUUUAACAGAAAUCCAUACAUACUGGGUGUAGCACUAAAAUUCUUUUCACUUGUUUUACACCAAUAUGGCUUCAAGCCAAGGAGUAAUCAAACCACAGGUUAUUACUAAACAAUAAUCACAUAAUUUUAUAGUCAAAUAUGAACAAAAUAUGGAUCCAUAUUUGAACAGAAAAAUUCAGCAACUAAGUAAACUGAGAUAUGCCUGAUGAUGACCCAGUAAGGGUUGAAACAUGUUGUGUUGACAGUUAUAAGUAUACUGUUUCAAAUGACACGUAACAGGAUGCAACACCGAAAGAUGUAGUUGCUGUCCUUGUCAAUGUCACAGUAUAUACAUAGUAAGUAAAACAGAGAAGGCAGGGAAUAAGAAUUAAAAUUGGACCCAUAAACUCUAUUGGGAUAUCCGCACGGUGCUUUAACUGCUGUAUAUUUUGCAAAACAAAGUAAAUUUCAUAUUUUGAGUGUUCUCUUUUAGAUCUGCAAUAGAAAAGAAGAAAGUUACGUCUUUGUAUACUUAGGUUCCCUUUGAUAUUCUAUUUGUGUAUGUCAGUUCACCUACUUCAGUGUUCAUGUAAAGUUUUCUUGGUAUUUGAGACACACGGACACACAAGAUGAAGACAAUUCUCUGACCUACUCCAGCACUGGAGUAAUGCAGACAUACACAGAAAAUUACACUCUGAAAACAAAA
Cryptotermes secundus is the source of this 2492-nucleotide long non-coding RNA. RefSeq lists it as uncharacterized. The record is from RefSeq and is a predicted model, not a curated record. The transcript has 5 exons. Lineage: Eukaryota; Metazoa; Arthropoda; Insecta; Blattodea; Kalotermitidae.